Harmonia axyridis is the source of this 1945-nucleotide long non-coding RNA. RefSeq lists it as uncharacterized. Lineage: Eukaryota; Metazoa; Arthropoda; Insecta; Coleoptera; Coccinellidae. The record is from RefSeq and is a predicted model, not a curated record. The transcript has 2 exons.
AAAAAGAAUGCAUAGAAAAUGGAAAAUUUUUGGAGAAAAAUAUUAUCUUGAUAAAUUUAGAUUUUUUCGUAAAAAAAGUAAAGACCUCAUAAUGAAAGAUUAUAAGAUGUAUUUGAGUACUAUUCAAAAUAAAGUGAAAACUUGUUCUAAGAGCUUUUGGAAAUAUAUUAAAAACUGUAAAAGGGAGGGAGCAAUUCCUAGCAAAAUGUUGUAUGAUGGGUCGGUUGCCGAUAAUGGAGAGGAAAUAUGGAGAUUGCUUGCCUGUUUUUUUAAAAGUGUUUAUGAACUAUAUCAGCAGCCUCUCAAUCUUUACCAUCAUUUGAAUAAUCCAGGUGUUGUAAACUCUGUAAUUUUCAUACCAGAGAUGGUAUGUAAUAAAAUGAGAGCACUUGAUGCGAAAAAAGGGAGCUGGUUUUGACGGGUACCCAUCAUAUUUUGUCAAAAACUGUUGUGAGACCUUAUGUUAUCCUCUGUCAAAAUUAUUCAAUAAGUCCAUUAGAUCUGGGGAAUUUCCAUGCAUGGAAAACUGCGUUAUUGAUACCAAUAUAUUUAAGAAUUCUGGUGAUAGGAACUAAGUUGAAAACUAUCGGGGAGUCAGCAAGUUAUCGGUUUUUUAGCAAGAUAUUUGAAAGUAUUAUUUUGGACAAUUUGUUUAUUAGUCUGAAGUCGUUGAUCACGGAUUUUUUCCGGAACGUAGCAUUGAGACUAAUUUAAUUUUGUACACAGAGUUCUUGUCAGGAGCUUUGGACAGGAGCGUACAUGUUGAUUCAUUGUACUCCGAUUUUGACAAGGCUAACCACAACCUCCUUCUAGUCUGCACCAUUUUUCGUGACGUCGGGAGUACCUCAGGGCUCGCAUCUGGGUCCAAUGUUAUUCCUAAUAUACAUUAACGACUUGAUUGAAUGUUUUAAAUUUUCCAAGAUCCUCUUGUAUGCAGAUGACUUGAAAAUCUUCAAGGUGAUAUUAAUAGUACGUGAUUGCAUUGAACUACAGAAGGAUCUUGAUCCGUUGGCGAAAUACUAUGAAUAUAAAAAGAUGAAAUUGAACAUUAGUAAAUGUGCGAGUUUUUCUUUCACUAGAAAAAUAUCCAGUAUCGAGUUUCAAUAUUAUUUGAAUGAUGAACCAAUUAAACGGGUCAGUCAAGUGAAGGAUAUGGGAGUUAUCUUCGAUUCAAAAUUGUCUUUCAACAGACAUGCUGAUUAUAUAAUUAACUCUUGUAACAGAUCUUUAGGUUUCUUUUGUAGGAUGUGUAGAGAUUUUAAUGAUGAAACUGCAAUUAAGGUAGUUUAUUAUUUCUUUGUUUACAGUAAACUGAACUUCGCCAGCGUAGUAUGGACUACCCAAUAUAAUUGUAAUGAAUUAAGAUUAGAAAGAGUGCAGAAUAGGUUCUUGAUGUUUCUACAUUUUGAAUUAACCGGAAUAUAUGUCACCAUGGGUAAUAGUAGAAUUCGUUCUCUGUAUCAUUUGCGGACAUUAGAGCAGCGCAGAAUUUUAAUAGACCUAAUUUUCGUAUAUGAAAUUUUAAUGAAUUACUACCACUGUCCUGAGCUGAGCACUGAUCGGCUUUCAUACCCCUAAGAGGAGUACCAGAAGCAGACAAUUGUUGGCUGUUUUGAGUUUCCGAAUCAAUGUCGGCGGAAACUCUCCCAUCGCUAGGUUUUGUGAACUUUUUAAUGAGUAUUGUGUUAGUUUGGAUCCAUUUUGUGUAUCAUUGUCCUCAUUCAGGAAAUAAAGUAGGGUUUAUUUUUCAUAAGAUGUAAUUUUACAAAUUAUAUUAUGUUUCAUGGUAAUAAUUAGUUUAGAUUAAGUCCUUAUCUGUACAUGAUGUAUUAUUAUUUCGUUGUUCAAUUCGAAGUAAGUUGUGGAUAUUGUUUUGAGAUUUUAUCCUGUUGAUAUCCCUUAGUCUGAAUAAAUAAAUAAAUAAAUUCUAGGUUCAUAAAAUGUA